This is a long non-coding RNA of Sander lucioperca (pikeperch), 1069 nucleotides long. RefSeq lists it as uncharacterized. NCBI's taxonomy places the organism in Eukaryota, Metazoa, Chordata, Actinopteri, Perciformes, Percidae. The transcript has 2 exons. The record is from RefSeq and is a predicted model, not a curated record.
GUUGCCACAUGGGACCAUCUCUGUGACUUUUAGGUAGGUAAUUGUGUUAAGUCUGUUUUAUGCUUUCAAGGUGUUUUUAAGUACUUAGUUGUAUAUUUUGCAGCAGUCUGCUACCUGCCUGACUGUUGGGCCUGGAAGGGAUUCCAAGCUCCCCUGCCUGGCGUGGUGUGAUGAACUCUCCCUUAGCCUACUGAGUACAUUUGAGUGAAGUUACAGCAGUGGAGGAGAAGACGGAUAUAGAAGAAUUAAUCACUGUGACCCACAGUACUUUGACUUUGAACUGGAGGCUGCAGCUAACACUGCAGUCCAGAGGAAGGAAUAACCGGCUGAAGUGCAUUUACACUCUAACCACCUCGACUUCAACUGAACUGUGAAUCAGUGUACUUCUCACAGAUUACUUCAACUAAAAGCAAUGAGGUCAGAAGAUGUGACCAGAGUUUCUGCUGUUUUAAGUCAUUUUUCUAACAUCACUUGGAAAGCAAUCUUUUCUACCCUGGACCUGCAGAGCUAUUGUGACUGGACUUGACAGGCUUUCUAGUUACACAUUCGGACAGGUUACAGAUUUCAGUGUAACACUAGAAAAGCCUGGGUUUGAGUAUCUAGCCAGGUAAAAGGUAGCAGGAGAUUUCUUUAUAUAGGCCUAGUUGUAUAUUGUAUGGAAGUUAGGAUUACUAUUUUAUUUUUGUCCCCCUUUACUUGUGUAAAGCAUCCUUGGGUUUCAUGAAAGGUGCUAUAUAAAACAGUUAUAAUUGUAUUGGUUGCUACUGCUUUGGCUUGUGAUGGUGAUUUAGCUCAGGAUACAUCCAAAGUAGGCUAAGUGUACCGUAUGCAUUACUGAAAUGCAACGAUGCAUCAGCAACGUAUUCUCUCAUUGUAAAUGAGAAUGUCUUUAGCAAAACAUUCAUCCCAAAUGUAUGACCUCGCGCUAACUCUAACACAGUGGGUAGUACAGCAUCAGCCGGCGCACUACAAAAGGUCUUUACGACAGCAGGUGUGGUAGCAGAAUUUGAGCUGACAUAUUUUCUGUUGUAAGCCAUUCCACCCCAAGUCACCAUAAAAUUACUAAAUU